AUGCGGAACCGAGCAGCAACUU
This 22-nucleotide microRNA is filed under the name Heligmosomoides polygyrus. RNAcentral's name for it is "hpo-miR-10093-5p". The record is from miRBase by way of RNAcentral. Lineage: Eukaryota; Metazoa; Nematoda; Chromadorea; Rhabditida; Heligmosomidae.